RNAcentral lists this ribosomal RNA (721 nucleotides) under uncultured fungus. Its description in RNAcentral is "SSU rRNA". It matches the Rfam family "Eukaryotic small subunit ribosomal RNA", at positions 412 to 1137 of the family's 1831-position model. The record is from RNAcentral. Lineage: Eukaryota; Fungi.
ACAUCCAAGGAAGGCAGCAGGCGCGCAAAUUACCCAAUCCCGACACGGGGAGGUAGUGACAAUAAAUACUGAUACAGGGCUCUUUUGGGUCUUGUAAUUGGAAUGAGUACAAUUUAAAUCCCUUAACGAGGAACAAUUGGAGGGCAAGUCUGGUGCCAGCAGCCGCGGUAAUUCCAGCUCCAAUAGCGUAUAUUAAAGUUGUUGCAGUUAAAAAGCUCGUAGUUGAACCUUGGGCCUGGCUGGCCGGUCCGCCUCACCGCGUGUACUGGUCCGGCCGGGCCUUUCCUUCUGGGGAACCUCAUGCCCUUCACUGGGCGUGUUGGGGAACCAGGACUUUUACUUUGAAAAAAUUAGAGUGUUCAAAGCAGGCCUUUGCUCGAAUACAUUAGCAUGGAAUAAUAGAAUAGGACGUGUGGUUCUAUUUUGUUGGUUUCUAGGACCGCCGUAAUGAUUAAUAGGGAUAGUCGGGGGCAUCAGUAUUCAAUCGUCAGAGGUGAAAUUCUUGGAUUGAUUGAAGACUAACUACUGCGAAAGCAUUUGCCAAGGAUGUUUUCAUUAAUCAGUGAACGAAAGUUAGGGGAUCGAAGACGAUCAGAUACCGUCGUAGUCUUAACCAUAAACUAUGCCGACUAGGGAUCGGACGGUGUUAGUAUUUUGACCCGUUCGGCACCUUACGAGAAAUCAAAGUUUUUGGGUUCUGGGGGGAGUAUGGUCGCAAGGC